Molecule: ribosomal RNA, 254 nt
Filed under: uncultured bacterium
Lineage: Bacteria
Description: partial 16S ribosomal RNA
Rfam family: Bacterial small subunit ribosomal RNA
Source: RNAcentral
UACGUAGGGUGCGAGCGUUAAUCGGAAUUACUGGGCGUAAAGCGUGCGCAGGCGGUCUGUUAAGACCGAUGUGAAAUCCCCGGGCUUAACCUGGGAACUGCAUUGGUGACUGGCAGGCUUUGAGUGUGGCAGAGGGAGGUAGAAUUCCACGUGUAGCAGUGAAAUGCGUAGAGAUGUGGAGGAAUACCGAUGGCGAAGGCAGCCUCCUGGGCCAACACUGACGCUCAUGCACGAAAGCGUAGGUAGCGAAUGGG